This 600-nucleotide long non-coding RNA is filed under the name Ananas comosus (pineapple). RNAcentral's name for it is "long non-coding RNA (ACOM_LNC033573)". Lineage: Eukaryota; Viridiplantae; Streptophyta; Magnoliopsida; Poales; Bromeliaceae. The record is from RNAcentral.
AUAAUUUAAUUUACAUAACUAAAACAUACAGUAGUAAAUACUAUAAAAACACAUCAGGAUCGGUUAAAUUUGUUAAAGAUCUACACAGGGAGGCGCGGAUCGGCUACCAAUUGAUGAGGAUGGGAGGCAGAUUUAGUUCAUUCCAACAUAGUUAAUGCUAGUUUUGAGCUCCAGAGCAAGGUUAGGUUGAAUAUGGAGUUAAUAUGAAAGAGAAAAAAAUUGGCGGCAUUGAAAAGUGAAGAGAACUGAGAAGAAGAGAAGGAAUUAGGUGAAAGGACAGAGUUAAGAGGAAUUUGAGGUAGAAGAAUAUUUCAAGGGAACAAGACGAAGAUGGAGAAGAAUGGGUAGGUGAGUUGGUGGAGAGGAGAGUAAAGUAGCUCGGAUUUCGAGAAAACCUAAUUUUUAUCUCUACCCCUGCAAUUCCCCGAAUUUAAUCCCUAUUCGAGAGGUGAGGGGAAAUUAAAUUAACGGGUUAUUCCAUGAAAACUUGGAAUAACUCAUUUUGACCGGGUUAAAAUAUUCCGAUCAAAUUAUACUUUUUGUUUGGCAGAAUAAUUAGGAUAAAUAAAUUUAAUCCCUUGUUCUCCUAUUACCAAAUAU